RNAcentral lists this ribosomal RNA (403 nucleotides) under uncultured bacterium. RNAcentral describes it as "partial 16S ribosomal RNA". It matches the Rfam family "Bacterial small subunit ribosomal RNA", at positions 30 to 526 of the family's 1533-position model. The record is from RNAcentral.
AUUGAACGCUGGCGGCAGGCCUAACACAUGCAAGUCGAGCGAGCGGCGGACGGGUGAGUAAUGUAUGGGGACUGCCCGAUAGAGGGGGAUAACUACUGGAAACGGUAGCUAAUACCGCAUACUAUCGGAUAACCCAUAUGGGAUUAGCUAGUAGGUUAGGUAAUGGCUCACCUAGGCUACGAUCCCUAGCUGGUCUGAGAGGAUGAUCAGCCACACUGGGACGGGGAGACGGGCCGGAGUCCGGCGGGGGCAGCAUUGGAGAAUAUUGCACAAUGGGCGAAAGCCUGAUGCAGCCAUGCCGCGGGUAUGAAGAAGGCCCUAGGGUUGUAGAGUACUUGCGGUCGGGAGGCGUUACCGACAGAAGAGGCACCGGCUAACUCCGUGCCAGCAGCCACGGUAAUUC